Molecule: ribosomal RNA, 497 nt
Filed under: uncultured bacterium
Lineage: Bacteria
Description: partial 16S ribosomal RNA
Rfam family: Bacterial small subunit ribosomal RNA
Source: RNAcentral
GAUGAACGCUGGCGGCGUGCAUAAUACAUGCAAGUCGAGCGAACAGACGAGGAGCUUGCUCCUCUGACGUUAGCGGCGGACGGGUUAGUAACACGUGGAUAACCUACCUAUAAGACUGGGAUAACUUCGGGAAACCGGAGCUAAUACCGGAUGAUAUAUUGAACCAUAUGGUUCAAUAAUGAAAGACGGUCUUGCUGUCACGUAUGGAUGGUAAUGCGCUGCAUUAGCUAGUUGGUGUGGUAACGGCUUACCAAGGCAACGAUGCGUAGCCGACCGGAGAGGGGGAACGGCCACACUAGAACGGAGACGAGGUCCAGACUCCUACGGGAGGCAGCAGUAGGGGAGCUUCCGCAAUGGGCGAAGGCAUGACGGAGCAACGCCGCGUGAGGGAUGAAGGUCUUCGGAUCGUAGAACUCUGCUAUUAGGGAAGAACAAAUGUGUAAGUAACUAUGCACGUCUUGAAGGUACCUUAACAGAAAGCCACGGCUAACUACGUG